AGAGUUUGAUCAUGGCUCAGGAUGAACGCUAGCGGCAGGCUUAAUACAUGCAAGUCGAGGGGCAGCGCAGUGUAGCAAUACAUGGGCGGCGACCGGCAAACGGGUGCGGAACACGUACACAACCUUCCUUUAAGCGGGGAAUAGCCCGGGGAAACCCGGAUUAAUACCCCAUAGUAUAUUGAAGAGGCAUCUCUUUAUUAUUAAAGAUUUAUCACUUGAAGAUGGGUGUGCGGCUGAUUAGCUAGUUGGCGGGGUAAUGGCCCACCAAGGCAACGAUCAGUAACUGGUGUGAGAGCACGACCAGUCACACGGGCACUGAGACACGGGCCCGACUCCUACGGGAGGCAGCAGUAAGGAAUAUUGGUCAAUGGACGCAAGUCUGAACCAGCCAUGCCGCGUGGAGGAUGAAGGUCCUCUGGAUUGUAAACUUCUUUUAUCUGGGACGAAAAAAGGUUUUUCUAGACCGACUGACGGUACCAGAUGAAUAAGCACCGGCUAACUCCGUGCCAGCAGCCGCGGUAAUACGGAGGGUGCAAGCGUUAUCCGGAUUCACUGGGUUUAAAGGGUGCGUAGGUGGAUUAGUAAGUCAGUGGUGAAAUCUCCGGGCUUAACCCGGAAACUGCCAUUGAUACUAUUAGUCUUGAAUACCGUGGAGGUCAGCGGAAUAUGUCAUGUAGCGGUGAAAUGCUUAGAUAUGACAUAGAACACCAAUUGCGAAGGCAGCUGGCUACACGAAUAUUGACACUCAGGCACGAAAGCGUGGGGAUCAAACAGGAUUAGAUACCCUAGUAGUCC
RNAcentral lists this ribosomal RNA (795 nucleotides) under uncultured bacterium. RNAcentral's name for it is "bacterial SSU rRNA". It matches the Rfam family "Bacterial small subunit ribosomal RNA", at positions 8 to 796 of the family's 1533-position model. The record is from RNAcentral.